RNAcentral lists this ribosomal RNA (257 nucleotides) under uncultured prokaryote. RNAcentral describes it as "partial 16S ribosomal RNA". It matches the Rfam family "Bacterial small subunit ribosomal RNA", at positions 524 to 776 of the family's 1533-position model. The record is from RNAcentral.
UACAGAGACCUCAAGCGUUAUCCGGAAUCAUUGGGCGUAAAGCGUACCGAUAGGUUGUUCAUAAAGUCUUGGGUAAAAGCCGGAAGCUCAACUUCCGCGUUUGCUUAAGAUACUUAUAGACUAGAGGGGCAAAGAGGUGCUUGGAACCAACGGUGUAGUAGUGAAAUGCGUUGAUAUCGUUGGGAACACCGAAAGCGAAGGCAGAGCACUGGGUGCCACCUGACACUGCUAGGACGAAAGCGUGGGGAGCGAAUGGG